RNAcentral lists this ribosomal RNA (601 nucleotides) under uncultured Actinomycetes bacterium. Its description in RNAcentral is "bacterial SSU rRNA". It matches the Rfam family "Bacterial small subunit ribosomal RNA", at positions 252 to 866 of the family's 1533-position model. Lineage: Bacteria; Bacillati; Actinomycetota; Actinomycetes. The record is from RNAcentral.
GUGAGGUAACGGCUCACCAAGGCGACGACGGGUAGCUGGUCUGAGAGGACGAUCAGCCACACUGGAACUGAGACACGGUCCAGACUCCUACGGGAGGCAGCAGGAGGGAAUAUUGCGCAAUGGGCGAAAGCCUGACGCAGCAACGCCGCGUGAGGGAUGACUGCCUUCGGGUUGUAAACCUCUUUCAGUGGGGACGAAAUUGACGGUACCCACAGAAGAAGCACCGGCCAACUACGUGCCAGCAGCCGCGGUAAUACGUAGGGUGCAAGCAUUGUCCGGAUUUAUUGGGCGUAAAGAGCUCGUAGGCGGCUUAACAAGUCGGCCGUGAAAUACCGAGGCUCAACCUCGGGGAGUCGGUCGAAACUGUUAUAGCUAGAGUACGGUAGAGGAGAGUGGAAUUCUCGGUGUAGCGGUGGAAUGCGCAGAUAUCGAGAGGAACACCAGUAGCGAAGGCGGCUCUCUGGGCCGUUACUGACGCUGAGGAGCGAAAGCGUGGGGAGCAAACAGGAUUAGAUACCCUGGUAGUCCACGCUGUAAACGUUGGGAACUAGGUGUUGCGGUCUGAUCAAUGACUGCGGUGCCGAAGCUAACGCAUUAAGUU